AAUGCGAUAAGUAAUGUGCAUUGCAGAAUUCAGUGAAUCAUCGAAUCUUUGAACGCACAUUGCGCCCGCCAGCACUCUGGCGGGCAUGCCUGUUCGAGCGUCAUUUCAACCCUCAGAACCCCUUGCGGGAUCUGGCGUUGGGGAUUGGCAUCCAGCCAGCCCCGAAAUCUAGUGGCGGUCCCUCCGCGACCUCCCCUGUGCAGUAGCGAUACCUCGCAGCGGGACAGCGGUCUGACCACGCCGUAAAACCCCCAACUUCUCAAGGUUGACCUCGAAUCAGGUAGGAAUACCCGCUGAACUUAAGC
Molecule: unclassified non-coding RNA, 305 nt
Filed under: plant metagenome
Description: partial contains 5.8S ribosomal RNA, internal transcribed spacer 2, and large subunit ribosomal RNA
Rfam family: 5.8S ribosomal RNA (bases 1-103)
Source: RNAcentral